Molecule: ribosomal RNA, 371 nt
Filed under: uncultured organism
Description: partial 16S ribosomal RNA
Rfam family: Bacterial small subunit ribosomal RNA
Source: RNAcentral
GGAGGGUGCAAGCGUUAAUCGGAAUUACUGGGCGUAAAGCGCGCGUAGGCGGUUGGGUAAGUCGGAUGUGAAAGCCCUGGGCUUAACCUGGGAACUGCAUUCGAUACUGCCCGGCUAGAGUAUGGGAGAGGGAAGUGGAAUUUCCGGUGUAGCGGUGAAAUGCGUAGAUAUCGGAAGGAACACCAGUGGCGAAGGCGGCUUCCUGGCCCAAUACUGACGCUCAGGUGCGAAAGCGUGGGGAGCGAACAGGAUUAGAUACCCUGGUAGUCCACGCCGUAAACGAUGAGAACUAGAUGUUGGGAGGGUUUAGCCUCUCAGUGUCGCAGCUAACGCGUUAAGUUCUCCGCCUGGGGAGUACGACCGCAAGGUUG